AGCUCCCGUUGAUCCCCUGGUCUUCGGGGAAAACUUUCUCGGUAUGGGAUGGGGUCGCGUCCUCUCAUCUUGACGGCGGGGUAACAGCCCACCGCGGCUUCGACGGGUAGCCGGCCUGAGAGGGCGACCGGCCACAUUGUGACUGAGAUACGGCCCACACUCCUCCGGGAGGCAGCAGUGGGGAAUAUUGUACAAUGGGCGCAAGCCUGAUGCAGCGACGCCCCGUGAGGGAUGGAGGCCUUCUGGUUGUAAACCUCUUUUAUCGUGGAGCAAGCGAGAGUGAUUUUACCCGUUGAAUAAGCACCUGCUAACUACCUGCCAGCAGCCGCGGUAAUACGUAGGGUGCAAGCGUUAUCCGGAAUUAUUGGUCGUAAAGGGCUCGUAGGCGGUUCGUCGCGUCCGGUGUGAAACUCCAUCGCUUAACGGUGGAUCCGCGCCGGGUACGGGCGGGCUUGAGUGCGGUAGGGGAGACUGGAAUUCCCGGUGUAACGGUGGAAUGUGUAGAUAUCGGGAAGAACACCAAUGGCGAAGGCAGGUCUCUGGGCCGUUACUGACGCUGAGGAGCGAAAGCGUGGGGAGCGAACAGGAUUAGAUACCCUGGUAGUCCACGCCGUAAACGGUGGAUGCUGGAUGUGGGGCCCGUUCCACGGGUUCCGUGUCGGAGCUAACGCGUUAAGCAUCCCGCCUGGGGAGUACGGCCGCAAGGCUAAAACUCAAAGAAAUUGACGGGGGCCCGCACAAGCGGCGGAGCAUGCGGAUUAAUUCGAUGCAACGCGAAGAACCUUACCUGGGCUUGACAUGUUCCCGACGGUCGUAGAGAUACGGCUUCCCUUCGGGGCGGGUUCACAGGUGGUGCAUGGUCGUCGUCAGCUCGUGUCGUGAGAUGUUGGGUUAAGUCCCGCAACGAGCGCAACCCUCGCCCCGUGUUGCCAGCGGAUUAUGCCGGGAACUCACGGGGGACCGCCGGGGUUAACUCGGAGGAAGGUGGGGAUGACGUCAGAUCAUCAUGCCCCUUACGUCCAGGGCUUCACGCAUGCUACAAUGGCCGGUACAACGGGAUGCGACGCGGCGACGCGGAGCGGAUCCCUGAAAACCGGUCUCAGUUCGGAUCGCAGUCUGCAACUCGACUGCGUGAAGGCGGAGUCGCUAGUAAUCGCGAAUCAGCAACGU
This 1170-nucleotide ribosomal RNA is filed under the name uncultured Bifidobacterium sp. RNAcentral's name for it is "bacterial SSU rRNA". It matches the Rfam family "Bacterial small subunit ribosomal RNA", at positions 173 to 1357 of the family's 1533-position model. The record is from RNAcentral. Lineage: Bacteria; Bacillati; Actinomycetota; Actinomycetes; Bifidobacteriales; Bifidobacteriaceae.